Molecule: ribosomal RNA, 506 nt
Filed under: uncultured bacterium
Lineage: Bacteria
Description: partial 16S ribosomal RNA
Rfam family: Bacterial small subunit ribosomal RNA
Source: RNAcentral
AGUGAACGCUGGCGGUAGGCCUAACACAUGCAAGUCGAACGGCAGCACAGGAGAGCUUGCUCUCUGGGUGGCGAGUGGCGGACGGGUGAGGAAUACAUCGGAAUCUACUUUUUCGCGGGGGAUAACGUAGGGAAACUUACGCUAAUACCGCAUACGACCUACGGGUGAAAGCAGGGGACCUUCGGGCCUUGCGCGAUUGAAUGCGCCGAUGUCGGAUUAGCUAGUUGGCGGGGUAAAGGCCCACCAAGGCGACGAUCCGUAGCUGGUCUGAGAGGAUGAUCAGCCACACUGGAACUGAGACACGGUCCAGACUCCUACGGGAGGCAGCAGUGGGGAAUAUUGGACAAUGGGCGCAAGCCUGAUCCAGCCAUACCGCGUGGGUGAAGAAGGCCUUCGGGUUGUAAAGCCCUUUUGUUGGGAAAGAAAUCCAGCUGGCUAAUACCCGGUUGGGAUGACGGUACCCAAAGAAUAAGCACCGGCUAACUUCGUGCCAGCAGCCGCAGUAA